CUUAAAAGAUUUAGAUGCACUAUUGUAAAGUGGUUGUUCCACUGGAUAUCAUAAGGUGAAUGCACCAUUUUGUAAGUCGCUCUGGAUAAGAGCGUCUGCUAAAUGACUUAAAUGUAAUGUAAUGUAAUGUCUUCUUUGGCACUAGGAAGUAGGGCAAAUAUAGCCCACUGUUCCUUUGCUCUUGGGGAACUACUGUGACCGCGUCCUUCGCCAAAAGUUCCCGUAAUCUCUUUCACAAGAGUGGCUACUUUCUCUCGCGCCUUCAUCACCGUCUCCACCACGCCCGAAAAAGGGGGAGGAGUUCGGUGGAAUUGGAUGGCAUCUCCAGCGUCUGACUUAGCCAGGAGGAGAGGUUGCAGCUUUGCUGCCACUCCAAGUAAUGCUCUGAGUGCGGGAGAGCGCGAAGCUGUGGUACAGACAGUAGGAAGGAUCUGGAUUUGGUACAGACAGUAGGAAGGAUCCCGAAAAGGGGGAGGAAAUAUUGACGCGUUCUGUGAGAAAUGGGAGCACCAACAAUUUGGUUAUACUCGUAACCUUGUGGUUCCAGCCCUCUGUGAACUCAGCACGGGUCUGAGCUACACUAACUGCUCUGGGGGGAUGGAUACGCAGGCUGUUUAAACCCCUAGCCACUCCUGAGUGUGUAGGGUAGGGUUUUUAUGAGGUAUAGCAUGACGGCUCAUUAAGAGCGUCCGUCUUGCUUCCCUCAUGUCAUUCCCACUCACAACGUCCACCUGUGUGUGCUCAGCUGUGCUAUACACAGAGUGGUGACAGGAAGAGAGAGAGAGAGAGAAGGAACCUGAGCGAUCUCAAUUUUGUUAUGGAAAAGAGGUUAUCUUGUGACAAAGUCAAAUGGAACACAUUCUUUAUUAACAAAGGACACAUUAGCUCCUCCAUCCCUUUGCCUUGGUGGGGGAUUAACAGUGGGCGCGGUCACACGAAGUGCUGCGCUCUCUCCCGUCCUCUCCUCGUCCCGUCAUGGUCGUCGUCUCUUCUGGCUGCCAGGGGGACGAAAGGAAAAGCUCUCUCGCCGGUUGAACAGCUGCCUUCUCUGGUGUUGCUGGAGGGGUGGAGCCCGCUCUUGGUACACCAGAUGCUGCCGCUCGAUGUGCUCUCCGUCUGGCUGUAGACCUAGGUCUACUGGAGACGGUGGAGCGAGGGGGUUCCUUUGAAGCUGCUCUAGACCCUCCUGCCAAUGGCAGGUGUCGAGACAGUUGCUUCUUCUCCUCCUCAAGCUUCCCGAAACGCAUCGUCACAUCUUUGACGGCAUCUCCAAAGAGACCGCUGUCAGCGAUGGGGGCAUUCAAUAGGGUGGCUUUGUCGGUCUCCUUCAUCGCCGUCAAAGACAGCCAGAGGUGUCGCUUCACGACCACCGAGGUGGCCGUGAACCUCCCCGCACAUACAGCCGAUGCCUGUGUGAGAUGGAGGGUGGUGCCUGAAAUGCUCGACGCUUCCUCUAGCUCCUCCCCCGACAGCUCAGUCCUACCCGUGGUGAGAUGGGAUAGAGAGGCUGCCAGGAGGGCAAUAUUAUUAGCUGCUGCUACAGCCUGUACACCUAGAGCGAAGAACUUCUCUAUCAGCUGUGCUGUGAGUCGGUCCUUAGUCGUAAGUAGUGUGGGUUUCCUGGGCGACGGCCAGAAGAUCGAACCUGGGGUGAGGCAUGCAGCUAGGGCGUCCUCGAGCCUAGGGAUCUGCUGAGGCCGUUUCUCGUCCACUCUGGUGAAUGGGGUGUACGCCUUUGCCGGCGCUCUGGCCAUUAAAGGUGACUCCUGAGAUCUUAAAAGAGCUUUUGGGAGUGGAGAAGGUGUGCUCAUGAAGGAUGUUGAGACCAGGAAAUCAAUGGCGGGUUCAUCCUGAGUCUUCUCUCUUCUCUUCUAGGCUUCUUCAGUCCAGUCCUGUCACUGAAGAUAAUGGGAGGCUGAUUGAGGGGAAGCUUCCCCUUAUGAAGGGACACCUGUACUCCUAUUGGCUGCAGGUGUGUGCAUAAUUUUUUCUCUCAAGCUAUUCGCUGUCGAGGCAGCGGGGUAAACCACUAGGAGCAGAGCUCCCCUAUCGGGUGGAGCUCCACGAUAUAGAACUGCUUCUAUAACAGAAAUCCCCGAUCACGCUUGUAGGCGAUGUCAUGGCGACGUUGGCUAGCUAAGCUCAUGCAUACAGUAGAAACACGCCAUCGGGUCUAAUGGACGUCUCGCACCGAACUGUGCAUGUGCAGGCCGUCAAAUUAAAGGCAGUCCUUC
This 2234-nucleotide long non-coding RNA is filed under the name Salmo salar (Atlantic salmon). RNAcentral's name for it is "lncRNA (ENSSSAG00000109525.1)". The stretch from base 59 to 112 matches the Rfam family "UnaL2 LINE 3' element". The record is from RNAcentral. Lineage: Eukaryota; Metazoa; Chordata; Actinopteri; Salmoniformes; Salmonidae.